This 173-nucleotide ribosomal RNA is filed under the name Micrococcus luteus. Its description in RNAcentral is "partial 23S ribosomal RNA". Lineage: Bacteria; Bacillati; Actinomycetota; Actinomycetes; Micrococcales; Micrococcaceae. The record is from RNAcentral.
AAGUUUUUCUAAAGGGGCGCAUGGUGGGAUCCUUUGGCAACAGGGAGCCCGAAAGAAAGGGACGUGGGGGAAUCUGCGAUAAAGCCUGGGUGGAGUCGAUAACCGGACGUGAGACCAGGGAUUUCCCGAAAUGGGGGAAACCCCCGCACGACGUGUCGUGUGACCCCCCGGUU